This 446-nucleotide ribosomal RNA is filed under the name uncultured bacterium. Its description in RNAcentral is "bacterial SSU rRNA". It matches the Rfam family "Bacterial small subunit ribosomal RNA", at positions 329 to 792 of the family's 1533-position model. The record is from RNAcentral.
UGCCAGACUCCUACGGGAGGCAGCAGUGGGGAAUAUUGCACAAUGGGGGGAACCUUGAUGCAGCAACGCCGCGUGGGUGAAGAAGUACUCCGGUAUGUAAAGCCCUGUCAGCAGGGAAGAAAAUGACGGUACCUGACCAAGAAGCCCCGGCUAACUACGUGCCAGCAGCCGCGGUAAUACGUAGGGGGCGAGCGUUAUCCGGAUUUACUGGGUGUAAAGGGAGCGUAGACGGCGUCGCAAGUCUGAAGUGAAAGCCCGUGGCUCAACCGCGGAACCGCUUUGGAAACUGCGAGGCUGGAGUGCUGGAGAGGUAAGCGGAAUUCCUGGUGUAGCGGUGAAAUGCGUAGAUAUCAGGAGGAACACCGGUGGCGAAGGCGGCUUACUGGACAGUGACUGACGUUGAGGCUCGAAAGCGUGGGGAGCGAACAGGAUUAGAUACCCGCGUA